GACGAACGCUGGCGGCGCGCCCAAUACAUGCAAGUCGAACGGGCCUUUCAGGCUUGCUUGAAAGGCUAGUGGCGGACGGCUGAGUAACGCGUGGGUGACCUGCCCCGAAGUGGGGAAUAACUGCCCGAAAGGGUGGCUAAUACCGCAUGUGAUCACAUAUUCAUUUGUGUGAUCAAAGCAGUAAUGCGCUUUGGGAGGGGCCUGCGUCCGAUUAGCUAGUUGGGGGGUAAAAGCCUACCAAGGCGACGAUCUUUAGCUGGUCUGAGAGGAUGAUCAGCCACACUGGGACUGAGACACGGCCCAGACUCCUACGGGAGGCAGCAGUGGGGGAAUAUUGGACAAUGGGCGAAAGCCUGAUCCAGCCAUGCCGCGUGAGUGAUGAAGGCCCUAGGGUUGUAAAGCUCUUUCGGCGGGGACGAUAAUGACGGUACCCGCAGAAGAAGCCCCGGCUAACUCCGUGCCAGCCGCCGCUGU
Molecule: ribosomal RNA, 474 nt
Filed under: uncultured bacterium
Lineage: Bacteria
Description: bacterial SSU rRNA
Rfam family: Bacterial small subunit ribosomal RNA
Source: RNAcentral